RNAcentral lists this ribosomal RNA (253 nucleotides) under uncultured bacterium. RNAcentral's name for it is "partial 16S ribosomal RNA". It matches the Rfam family "Bacterial small subunit ribosomal RNA", at positions 524 to 776 of the family's 1533-position model. The record is from RNAcentral.
AACGUAGGAGACAAACGUUAUCCGGAGUUACUGGGCGUAAAGGGCGUGUAGGUGGUUUCGUAAGUCUGGCGUGAAAUUUCUCGGCUUAACCGAGGCAGGUCGUCGGAUACUGCGGGACUAGAGGACGGUAGAGGCGUGUGGAAUUCCGGGUGUAGUGGUGAAAUGCGUAGAGAUCCGGAGGAACACCAGUGGCGAAGGCGACACGCUGGGCCGUACCUGACACUGAACCGCGACAGCAUGGGGAGCAAACAGG